CCGUAGGUGAACCUGCGGCAGACAUUGUAUAUGCAAACCACAACACGCACGUACCAUAUCUGGUGUUCGACCUGGGGUUGCUUGCCUAACACGCUCGCGGCCCUGCUUUUUACACACCACGACAAACCAAUUACAACCCAAUCACUGAAGCUAUGGCUGCUAUUAAUUGGCGGCUUUUAACCGAGAACAACUCUCAACAACGGAUAUCUUGGCUCUCGCAACGAUGAAGAACGCAGCGAAAUGCGAUACGUAGUGUGAAUUGCAGAAUUCCGUGAACCAUCGAAUCUUUGAACGCAUAUUGCACUCGACCCCUCGGGGAAGAGUAUGUCUGCCUCAGCGUCGGUUUAAACCUCAUCCCUCCCAUGUCACCAUGGGUCGGACUGGCUCUUGCUCGGCCGGUCUUUGGGAUGGACCUGACCUCCCCAAUCGGUGCCUGGCACUGCUUGGGUUGGUUGAAGCACAGAGGCUUAAACUGGGACCCACAUGGGCUCAACUGGAUAGGUAGCUCCACCCGCUUCACGUGGGUGUCUACACGAAGUUGUGUCUGCGGACCUGGUUAGGAGCCAAGCAGGAAUCGGACCGCAAGGUCUGAAUCUAAGGUUCGACCUGAGCUCAGGCAAGGCUACCCGCUGAACUUAAGCAUAUCACUAA
RNAcentral lists this ribosomal RNA (651 nucleotides) under Desmodesmus sp. AKS-15. RNAcentral's name for it is "eukaryotic LSU rRNA". The stretch from base 189 to 342 matches the Rfam family "5.8S ribosomal RNA". Lineage: Eukaryota; Viridiplantae; Chlorophyta; Chlorophyceae; Sphaeropleales; Scenedesmaceae. The record is from RNAcentral.